CCAAAGCGUUGAUUCCUUCUCCAGGGCAACGAUUUCUUCUCCAAUUGUAGGAAUUCACGCUCUUGAAACCACCAAGGGUUUUCUUCUCUUCCACUCUCGCUCAAUCUUCUCCUUUCAAGUUGCUGAUGAUUUCUGGACAUUCGCAAUGGCCGCCUAAGAGCUUUCGCCUUAGCCAGGCUUGAGAGCUAAAAUGUUGCUUUGCUCCUAUCUUGGAUGUCUGAAGUUUAUUUAGAAAUUUGUUUUUGAUAUUAGGUUCUUAGU
Long non-coding RNA from Cynara cardunculus var. scolymus (artichoke), 261 nucleotides. RefSeq lists it as uncharacterized. The transcript has 3 exons. NCBI's taxonomy places the organism in Eukaryota, Viridiplantae, Streptophyta, Magnoliopsida, Asterales, Asteraceae. The record is from RefSeq and is a predicted model, not a curated record.